This is a long non-coding RNA of Daphnia magna, 991 nucleotides long. RefSeq lists it as uncharacterized. Lineage: Eukaryota; Metazoa; Arthropoda; Branchiopoda; Diplostraca; Daphniidae. The record is from RefSeq and is a predicted model, not a curated record. The transcript has 5 exons.
AAAUUUCAAAGUAAAAUAGAAUUUUUGGUUUUAGGCGGAAACUCUAGAUGGCGUUGAUGUGCGUCUAUGAAGAUUAUGAGUGACAAGUUACGUGUUUGUUACGUUACCCUUUUAUGUGUUUCAAAGGAUUUUUCGUCAAAUAUUUACGAUUGCUGUUUGUACGUGGUGUUGUUUCGCCUUGUCAGCUAUGCCAGCGCCUGAACCAGCAGCCUUCAUUCCUGCUAUCAAUGUACCACAAGGGAUCCUGACACUUUAAGAAGGCCACUAUUCCUUACAUGAAGAUCACCAUCCAGUUCAAUCAACAACAGAGUCUUCAUCUACUUUGUGUUGCUAAGCAUCAGCCCUCAGCAUCCCAGGUAUCCAGAUUUCCAAGUUUCUCUGAUUAGCCAACCAUCAUCCAUACCCUUCAGCUCUUCAUUGUGGCUUCUCUUCCUCUCUUCUUAGUCUGCUGAAUGCCAAAAUUGAAUAAGGUUCAUCGUCAUUGCCUUUCCAUGGUAUUUUAAUUUGGUGGAUUAUCUAGCUGCUGUUUUUCGCACCGUUACUUAGCCAGCUCACAUGGACAGGCUUUAACAACAUCUCCAUUUUUUUGGACUGCAAAUAUUCAUCUUCCUUCGUCGUCUUGGCCGUCUUUGCCUUCAUCUCCGUCUCGUCGUCUUGGCCGUCUUCGCCUUCAUCUCCGUCUCGUCGUCUUGGCCGUCUUCGCCUUCAUCUCCGUCUCGUCGUCUUGGCCGUCUUCGCCUUUGUUUCAUCGUCGUCUUCGCCUUUGUUUCAUCGCCGUCUUGGCCGUUUAUUUCUACGCCAUCACUUCGUCGCCGGCUUCUCCUUCGCCCUUCACGUAGGGAGUUCACCGUGGAUCGUCGUCCUGGUAUUGUUUUAUUUGGCAUUUUUAUGUUUAAGUUAACCCGUUGGCUGCCACCCCGUUUGCGUCCCAUUUUUUUUUAGCUUGUAGGGACCGGCCGCAAUGGCCUUCGCCGCAAGGCGCCUUAGGCAA